Molecule: ribosomal RNA, 407 nt
Filed under: Shigella flexneri
Lineage: Bacteria; Pseudomonadati; Pseudomonadota; Gammaproteobacteria; Enterobacterales; Enterobacteriaceae
Description: bacterial SSU rRNA
Rfam family: Bacterial small subunit ribosomal RNA
Source: RNAcentral
GCCGCAAGGUUAAAACUCAAAUGAAUUGACGGGGGCCCGCACAAGCGGUGGAGCAUGUGGUUUAAUUCGAUGCAACGCGAAGAACCUUACCUGGUCUUGACAUCCACGGAAGUUUUCAGAGAUGAGAAUGUGCCUUCGGGAACCGUGAGACAGGUGCUGCAUGGCUGUCGUCAGCUCGUGUUGUGAAAUGUUGGGUUAAGUCCCGCAACGAGCGCAACCCUUAUCCUUUGUUGCCAGCGGUCCGGCCGGGAACUCAAAGGAGACUGCCAGUGAUAAACUGGAGGAAGGUGGGGAUGACGUCAAGUCAUCAUGGCCCUUACGACCAGGGCUACACACGUGCUACAAUGGCGCAUACAAAGAGAAGCGACCUCGCGAGAGCAAGCGGACCUCAUAAAGUGCGUCGUAGU